GUUAAUUUAUAUUUGAUCUAAGGCUGUUUGGUUUGGGUUUUUAUUUUUUCUUGCUGUACUAUUUUGCCAGGCUCCUCAUGUGACAACCUGUCAGCUCAAGAAUUCCAGUGUUAGUAUGGGCUGGUGUUUUGGACACAAUGAAGGGAACAAGACAAAACAGGGAGUGUACAGAAGAGACUGUAGCAGUAAGAGUCAUGCUUUCAGCUUCCCCAGCCAUCCAAGUUUAUCUUGUUUGUCCUUCUGCAUUUCUGAUGAAGAAUUGGGAAUGAAGAAAGAGAACUCGUGCAUAAUUGUGUGGGUUUGGUUUUUUUCUUAGAAGCUCUGAUUGCUGCAUGUGCCUUCCACAUGGACCAGUGCAAAAACUAAAAGCAUCUGCAAAACAGGUUUGUUUUAUCCCAUGGUUGUGUCAUGGCUUGCACAAUCUUGCAGAGCAUGAACAAAAUAAAUUUCCCGAGUGCAAGAAAAGUCAGUAGCUGGAAAACUGCCCUUUGUCAAUUGUCUGCAGUUUCUCACCUCGCUGUUGCCUAAACCUGUUAGUGAUGGUGAGUUUGGAGUAUGUAAAACAAAAAAAGCAGCUGCGAGCACACUGGCACUGUGUGUGGUUACAAAUUCAGAGCUGGUGGUGUCACAGUGAAGGAGGGACUCUCACUGCCUGUACAGCAGUGAAAGGGUGCAUGGUUUGGUGCCUGUGAGGGACCUGGAAUGUCAGAAAGGCUUUGUCACGGUGUGUGAAGCCUCCCUCUGCAAGCUCUGCCGUGCGGAGGGGACACAGGCACAGGACAUGGAGACACAAUGAGCUGUGGAAUUCAUCACAGUCAAGAAAAGGCCUUUGCUAGCUGGGAUAAGAGGUGAGGAGAUCACGGUGAGAGUUGUCCAAGGCAAGGAGCAGGAAUGCCGGGGCCUCCCUGUGCUCGGGUCUCCUCCAGGUUUGGGAUCUGAGCCCCGGGCGAUGCGAGGGCGCGGAGCUCCACCUGCUGCAGCAGCCCGAAAAGCCAUAACCAUUCCCACAGAAAACUUUCCUGUCCUUUCCUUAUGUCAUCUUCAUGUAUUACUUUAUGAUUUUUUUUUUAAUUUAUUGCUUCUUACAUACGGAGUUGUAUGAGCAGCUUCUUUUUUUUUUUCACAUCAGGAAAUGAUCGCUGCAACAGGCUUAAAGCAAAUUAGAUGAGCUAUAAUGAAAGUCUUCUUAAGCUGAAAACACUAAAAAAACAAAACAACCCACCAACACCCAAGCUGCAAAGAGUCUUCAGACUGUCACAAUAAUGUACUGUUGAGUUUAACAAAUGAGACACUCCAGCAACGUUUUCUGGUUUUAUAAUGCACGCCAAAUUAAAAAAAAAAAAAAAAAAAAAAAAAAAAAAAA
This is a long non-coding RNA of Prinia subflava (tawny-flanked prinia), 1363 nucleotides long. RefSeq lists it as uncharacterized. NCBI's taxonomy places the organism in Eukaryota, Metazoa, Chordata, Aves, Passeriformes, Cisticolidae. The transcript has 3 exons. The record is from RefSeq and is a predicted model, not a curated record.